Non-coding RNA from Triticum aestivum (bread wheat), 135 nucleotides. The record is from Rfam. Lineage: Eukaryota; Viridiplantae; Streptophyta; Magnoliopsida; Poales; Poaceae.
CUUAUAGUCCCACCAUCCCAAAAUUUUUGUCUUUGAUUUGUCUAAAUACGGAUGUAUCUAGUUACAUUUUAGUGUCAGAUACAUCCGUAUCUAGACAAAUAUAAGACAAGAAUUUUGGGACGGAGGGAGUAUUUA